RNAcentral lists this ribosomal RNA (468 nucleotides) under uncultured bacterium. RNAcentral describes it as "partial 16S ribosomal RNA". It matches the Rfam family "Bacterial small subunit ribosomal RNA", at positions 35 to 507 of the family's 1533-position model. The record is from RNAcentral.
GGGGGGGGGGGGGGGGGGGCGGGGGGGGGGGGGGGCGGGCGGGGGGGGCCGGCGUGGGGGGGGGGCUCGGGGGGCGCACGGGUGCGUGACGCGUGCGUACCCUGCCCUUGACGUUGGGAUAACUUCAGGCAACUGGGGCUAAUACCGGCGAGGAGCUCCCGCCGCACGGUGGGGGUUGGAAAGUUUCGGCGGUUGGGGAUGGACUCGCGGCCUAUCAGCCUGUUGGUGGGGUAGUGGCGUACCAAGGCUGUGACGGGUAGCCGGCCUGAGAGGGGGACCGGCCACAUUGGGACUGAGAGACGGCCCAGACUCCUACGGGAGGCAGCAGUGGGGAAUAUUGCACAAUGGGCGGAAGCCUGAUGCAGCAACGCCGCGUGCGGGAUGACGGCCUUCGGGUUGUAAACCGCUUUCGCCUGUGACGAAGCGUGAGUGACGGUAAUGGGUAAAGAAGCACCGGCUAACUACGUG